This 735-nucleotide long non-coding RNA is filed under the name Sinocyclocheilus grahami. RNAcentral describes it as "lncRNA (ENSSGRG00000006826.1)". Lineage: Eukaryota; Metazoa; Chordata; Actinopteri; Cypriniformes; Cyprinidae. The record is from RNAcentral.
GUGUAGGAUAGAGAGAGAAAGCCUGUGUGAGUACUGUAUGAGAGCAGGAGAGCGUAUAUCAUGGAGCAUGCGCAAUUCUCUAUGACCGCAUGUGUGUGUGAGAGAGACGGAGAGAGAGAGAGAGAGAGAAAGAGAGCAAGAUAGGGAACGCACCGUUCUGUUGCACCACUCCUAGAGUGCCUGGAGAUGCUCUCACACUGUCUGUCUCCUGUUCCAGCUCAGGGCUUCUGCAGGGACACACAUGCACGCAUGAGCACAGAGCCACACACAAACACACACCACAGACGUGUCGUCACUGCCACUCCUGGCAGCCGGUGAUAUAAGGGAGUGGGAGCUCUAAGGAGGAGAAAGAGAGGUGGAAACGGCUACCGUUAAGCUGAAGCAGGAGGCCCAGCCGUUGCACCUGGCCUAUCACGGAGCCCACCAUGUGAGUCGCUGCCGCCUCCUAGAGGACAAGAACAGAGCUCUUAAACAAGAGCUAGCCACACUUAAACAGCAGAAACAGCAGCACCGAUCCCUGGAGUCAGAUGUCAAUGUUUGCAGGAAAAGGUGUCAGAUCCUUGAGAGAGAAGUGAAAAACAAGACAUUAGAAUGUAAGACUUUGAAGAAUGAGCUUCAGGAUGCUUUGCUGGAGAGAAAACGGCUCAAUCGUGAGCUACUUAGUCACGUACUGAAGGCCACACAGUAUGAUAAGGUAAGAGAUGGUCAGCAUCACACGCCAGCUGAGCUCAUCAG